Tachyglossus aculeatus (Australian echidna) is the source of this 103-nucleotide small nuclear RNA. Lineage: Eukaryota; Metazoa; Chordata; Mammalia; Monotremata; Tachyglossidae. The record is from RefSeq and is a predicted model, not a curated record.
CCAUUUGGGCAAUGCUCAGUCUAAAACUGGAAAGAUAUGGAAAAGAUUAGCAUGGCCCCCAUGCAAGCACAACAUGUAAAUUCAUGAAGCAUUCCAUAUAUUU